Molecule: ribosomal RNA, 498 nt
Filed under: uncultured bacterium
Lineage: Bacteria
Description: partial 16S ribosomal RNA
Rfam family: Bacterial small subunit ribosomal RNA
Source: RNAcentral
AUUGAACGCUGGCGGCAUGCCUUACACAUGCAAGUCGAACGGUAACAGGUCUUCGGAUGCUGACGAGUGGCGAACUGGUGAGUAAUACAUCGGAACGUGCCUAGUAGUGGGGGAUAACUACUCGAAAGAGUGGCUAAUACCGCAUGAGAUCUACGGAUGAAAGCAGGGGAGCGCAAGACCUUGUGCUACUAGAGCGGCCGAUGGCAGAUUAGGUAGUUGGUGGGAUAAAAGCUUACCAAGCCGACGAUCUGUAGCUGGUCUGAGAGGACGAUCAGCCACACUGGGACUGAGACACGGCCCAGACUCCUACGGGAGGCAGCAGUGGGGAAUUUUGGACAAUGGGCGAAAGCCUGAUCCAGCAAUGCCGCGUGCAGGAUGAAGGCCUUCGGGUUGUAAACUGCUUUUGUACGGAACGAAAAGCCCCGGGUUAAUACCCCGGGGUCAUGACGGUACCGUAAGAAUAAGCACCGGCUAUCUACGUGCCAGCCGCCGCGGUAA